This is a non-coding RNA of Microcebus murinus (gray mouse lemur), 255 nucleotides long. NCBI's taxonomy places the organism in Eukaryota, Metazoa, Chordata, Mammalia, Primates, Cheirogaleidae. The record is from RefSeq and is a predicted model, not a curated record.
AGGAUUGUCUGUGUUCUCCAGUAUGGAAAGAGAGGCAAACAAGUAUGUAGCCCAUUCGUGCAACUUCUUUCUCUUCCCUACAACAUUUGGGAUUUUGGAUUCAGAAUUCUCUUUCCAGGCUUCUAGUGUUCAGUUUUUGAAUCACUAUGGCUUCAACUACAACAAGUUUCUCAAAAAUGGAAUCCCAUAUAUGAAUGAAGAACAAGAGAAGAAAAUUAAGCACAACAUUCUGUGUGGGAAUUGGAAAGUUCGCAG